This 170-nucleotide small RNA is filed under the name uncultured Prevotellamassilia sp. RNAcentral describes it as "Bacteroidales-1 6S-Bacteroidales RNA suggested". It matches the Rfam family "Bacteroidales-1 6S-Bacteroidales RNA suggested". Lineage: Bacteria; Pseudomonadati; Bacteroidota; Bacteroidia; Bacteroidales; Prevotellaceae. The record is from RNAcentral.
GCUGUACCGGUUAGAUUGGGAUACUCAUCAAUAAUUACUUGAAAACCGAGACAAACCAGUAUUUUAAUGGCGUGCCGAUAUGCGCUUGCGUAGGGUCGGAUUACAGAGACUUACUGGAACUCAAAUCUUAUUUCGCUCGGAGUUUCAUCACAUCACUGGUACAGCCGUUU